RNAcentral lists this unclassified non-coding RNA (297 nucleotides) under Vibrio harveyi. Its description in RNAcentral is "16S-23S ribosomal RNA intergenic spacer". Lineage: Bacteria; Pseudomonadati; Pseudomonadota; Gammaproteobacteria; Vibrionales; Vibrionaceae. The record is from RNAcentral.
UACGAUGAUUACUCACGAUGAGUGUCCACACAGAUUGAUAGUUCACAAGCGAAAGCUUGUAGCUAACAUAGCUCUUUAACAAUUUGGAAAGCUGACAAAACAAUCUUUAAGAUUGUUUGUAAAGUUCUCAAAGUAUUCUUAAUUGAAUACUCCAAACAACACAUUCAAGUGUUCUUGGGUUUUGCGAAAGCAAAACAUAUUUGAGUCCGGCAAAAUCGAAAGCUAUCUCGCUCAUUCAAAUAAUGAGAUAGCAACUUUGGUUGUUUAACUUCAAUUCGAAACUCCUUCGGGUUGUAU